UACGUAGGAGGCAAGCGUUGUCCGGAGUUACUUGGCGUAAAGCGCACGCAGGCGGUCCUAUUAGUCUGGGGUGACAGUUCCCGGCUUAACCGGAAAAGGACUCUGGAAACUGUAGGACUUGAGGGCUUCAGAGGGAUGUGGAAUUCCAGGUGGAGUGGUGAAAUGCGUAGAGAUCUGGAAGAACACCAAAGGCGAAGGCAGCAUCCUGGGAAGUUCCUGACGCUCGGGUGCGAAAGCCAGGGGAGCGAACGGG
RNAcentral lists this ribosomal RNA (253 nucleotides) under uncultured bacterium. Its description in RNAcentral is "partial 16S ribosomal RNA". It matches the Rfam family "Bacterial small subunit ribosomal RNA", at positions 524 to 776 of the family's 1533-position model. The record is from RNAcentral.